This 253-nucleotide ribosomal RNA is filed under the name uncultured bacterium. Its description in RNAcentral is "partial 16S ribosomal RNA". It matches the Rfam family "Bacterial small subunit ribosomal RNA", at positions 524 to 776 of the family's 1533-position model. The record is from RNAcentral.
UACGUAGGGUGCGAGCGUUGUCCGGAAUUAUUGGGCGUAAAGAGCUCGUAGGCGGUCUGUCGCGUCGAAUGUGAAAACCCGGGGCUCAACUCCGGGCUUGCAUUCGAUACGGGCAGGCUAGAGUUCGGUAGGGGAGUCUGGAAUUCCUGGUGUAGCGGUGAAAUGCGCAGAUAUCAGGAGGAACACCGGUGGCGAAGGCGGGACUCUGGGCCGAUACUGACACUGAGGUACGAAAGCGUGGGUAGCGAACAGG